This 494-nucleotide ribosomal RNA is filed under the name uncultured bacterium. RNAcentral's name for it is "partial 16S ribosomal RNA". It matches the Rfam family "Bacterial small subunit ribosomal RNA", at positions 28 to 507 of the family's 1533-position model. The record is from RNAcentral.
GACGAACGCUGGCGGCGUGCUUAACACAUGCAAGUCGAACGGUGAAGCGCCUUCCUUUUUGGUGGGUGUGGAUGAGUGGCGAACGGGUGAGUAACACGUGAGUAACCUGCCCCCUUCUUCUGGAUAACCGCAUGAAAGUGUGGCUAAUACGGGAUAUUCUGGGUCUGUCGCAUGAUGGGUCUGGGAAAGAUAUUGUUUCGGUGGGGGAUGGGCGCGCGGCCUAUCAGCUUGUUGGUGGGGUGAUGGCCUACCAAGGCGGUGACGGGUAGCCGGCCUGAGAGGGUGGACGGUCACACUGGGACUGAGACACGGCCCAGACUCCUACGGGAGGCAGCAGUGGGGAAUAUUGGACAAUGGGCGCAAGCCUGAUGCAGCGACGCCGCGUGAGGGGUGGAGGCCUUCGGGUUGUGAACCUCUUUCGCCAGUGAAGCAGGCCUGCCUCGUUUGUGGGUGGGUUGACGGUAGCUGGAUAAGAAGCGCCGGCUAACUACGUG